Molecule: ribosomal RNA, 497 nt
Filed under: uncultured bacterium
Lineage: Bacteria
Description: partial 16S ribosomal RNA
Rfam family: Bacterial small subunit ribosomal RNA
Source: RNAcentral
UUGAACGCUGGCGGAAUGCUUUACACAUGCAAGUCGAACGGUAGAGGGGGGCAACCUGGCGGCGAGCGGCGGACGGGUGAGUAACGCGUAGGAAUCUACCCAGUAGCGGGGGAUAGCCCGGGGAAACUCGGAUUAAUACCGCAUACGCCCUAAGGGGGAAAGUAGGGGAUCUUCGGACCUUGCACUAUUGGCAGAGCCUGCGUUGGAUUAGCUAGUUGGUAGGGUAAAGGCCUACCAAGGCAACGAUCCAUAACUGGUCUGAGAGGAUGAUCAGUCACACCGGAACUGAGACACGGUCCGGACUCCUACGGGAGGCAGCAGUGGGGAAUAUUGGACAAUGGGGGCAACCCUGAUCCAGCCAUGCCGCGUGUGUGAAGAAGGCCUUCGGGUUGUAAAGCACUUUAAGUGGGGAAAAAGGUUCGGCAGUUAAUACCUGUCGGAAUUGAUACUACCCACAGAAUAAGCACCGGCUAACUCUGUGCCAGCAGCCGCAGUAA